UACGGAGGGGGUUAGCGUUGUUCGGAAUCAUUGGGUGUAAAGGGUGCGCAGGCUGGCGCCUAAGUCGGAGGUGAAAUCUUGCCGCUUAACGGUAAAAUUGCCCCCGAUACUGGGUGUCUUGAAUCUGACAGAGGUCGGUGGAAUUCGUGGUGUAGCGGUGAAAUGCAUAGAGAUCACGAAGAACACCAGUGGAGAAGCGGGCCGGCUGGGUCAGAAUUGACGCUGAGGCACGAGAGCGUGGGGAGCGAACAGG
RNAcentral lists this unclassified non-coding RNA (253 nucleotides) under uncultured Bacteroidota bacterium. Its description in RNAcentral is "uncultured Bacteroidetes bacterium contains 16S-23S intergenic spacer region". It matches the Rfam family "Bacterial small subunit ribosomal RNA", at positions 524 to 776 of the family's 1533-position model. The record is from RNAcentral. Lineage: Bacteria; Pseudomonadati; Bacteroidota.